RNAcentral lists this ribosomal RNA (434 nucleotides) under uncultured bacterium. RNAcentral's name for it is "partial 16S ribosomal RNA". It matches the Rfam family "Bacterial small subunit ribosomal RNA", at positions 29 to 507 of the family's 1533-position model. The record is from RNAcentral.
AGCGAACGCUGGCGGCAGGCCUAACACAUGCAAGUCGAACGAACCUUUCGGGGUUAGUGGCGGACGGGUGAGUAACACGUGGGAACGUGCCUUUAGGUUCGGAAUAACUCAGGGAAACUUGUGCUAAUACCGAAUGUGCCCUUCGGGGGAAAGAUUAAUCGCCUUUAGAGCGGCCCGCGUCUGAUUAGCUAGUUGGUUGAGGUAAUGGCUCACCAAGGUGACGAUCAGGAGCUGGUCUGAGAGGAUGAUCAGCCACAUUGGGACUGAGACACGGCCCAAACGCCUACGGGAGGCAGCGGUGGGGAAUCUUACGCAAUGGGCGAGAGCCUGACGCAGCCAUGCCGCGUGAAUGAUGAAGGGCUUAGGAUUGAAAAAUUCUUUCACCGGGGACGAUAAUGACGGUACCCGGAGAAGAAGCCCCGGCUAACUUCGUG